RNAcentral lists this ribosomal RNA (486 nucleotides) under uncultured bacterium. RNAcentral's name for it is "partial 16S ribosomal RNA". It matches the Rfam family "Bacterial small subunit ribosomal RNA", at positions 30 to 507 of the family's 1533-position model. The record is from RNAcentral.
AUUGAACGCUGGCGGCAUGCCUUACACAUGCAAGUCGAACGGCAGCACGGGUGCUUGCACCUGGUGGCGAGUGGCGAACGGGUGAGUAAUACAUCGGAACAUGUCCUGUAGUGGGGGAUAGCCCGGCGAAAGCCGGAUUAAUACCGCAUACGAUCCACGGAUGAAAGCGGGGGACCUUCGGGCCUCGCGCUAUAGGGUUGGCCGAUGGCUGAUUAGCUAGUUGGUGGGGUAAAGGCCUACCAAGGCGACGAUCAGUAGCUGGUCUGAGAGGACGACCAGCCACACUGGGACUGAGACACGGCCCAGACUCCUACGGGAGGCAGCAGUGGGGAAUCUUGGACAAUGGGCGAAAGCCUGAUCCAGCAAUGCCGCGUGUGUGAAGAAGGCCUUCGGGUUGUAAAGCACUUUUGUCCGGAAAGAAAUCCUUGGCUCUAAUACAGUCGGGGGAUGACGGUACCGGAAGAAUAAGCACCGGCUAACUACGCG